UGUGUCAAACUCAAGGCCCGCAGGCCACAUCCAGCCCGGCGUGUAAUUAUAUCCGGCCCGUGAGAUCAUUUUAUAUAUUAUUGUUAUUAAUGGCCCGGUGAUAUGAAGCGCUGGUAACACAAUAAACUACAGAUCCCAUAAUGCAGCGCUUCAGCUGCCUUGCCGAACACUUCCCGCGUUAAUCAAGUCUAGCUUAUGAUGCUGCAGGUUAUUGCGAAGCUAGCCCUCAUGAUGCCGAAGAGAAAAGUUGAUUCUGAAAACAGAGCCUUUAAAAACCGAUGGGAGGCUGAGUAUAUGUUUACUGACAUUGCCGGUAAACCCGUGUGUCUCAUUUGUGGAGCUAAUGUGGCUGUAAUUAGAGAAUUUAAUCUAAGACGGCACUAUGAGACAAAACAUCAGGAUAACCUGAAAGACCUGAAUGUAAAGCAGAAGAUACAGAAAGCAGAAGAGUUAAAGAAGAAUCUGACACUUCAGCAGACAUUUUUUACCCGUGCAAAAUCACAAAGUGAAGCUGCUUGAAGCUGCUUUUAUGGGAGACACAAAUGCACCAGUGCAACUUGCCCCACUUUCCCUGCUGCCAAGUAAUGUUGAACCAAGUCGGCACAACGGUGUUCCCAAAUACACACUUUGCUGAUAAACUGAGUGCACUGCAAAAGAGUUCGCACGGCGCUUUGGUGACUUUGAAGAACAAAAAAAGAAUUUUGAAUUGCUUCACAACCCAUUUGCCGUCGAUGUGGAAACUGCACCUGUGCAGAUUCAGAUGGAGCUGAUUGAGCUGCAGUGUAAUGGCACACUGAAGGCAAAGUACGAUACUGCAGGGCCCGCACAGUUUAUUCACUCCAUUCCCGCAGAAAUGCUCCAGCUCCGUCUACAUGCGGCUCGAACCUUGUGCAUGUUUGGUAGCACAUAUCUGUGUGAGAAGCUCUUCUCAGUGAUGAAGACUAACAAAACAGCACACAGGAGUCGUCUCACUGAUGAGCACCUGCAGUCCAUCCUGAGAAUCUCCACAACACAGAACCUCACACCAAACAUAAACAAACUUAUUGCCAAAAAAAGAUGCCAGGUGUCCAGCUCUGAAAAAAUGACAUAAGAGCAAAGACAACUGAAUGAUUUGAUCUGUUACUGCUGAAAAGCACAAAUUUUAUUUAUAUUUCCAGGUUUUGUUAUGCAGCAUGUUCAUAUUUUGAAUUUGUAUAAUUUUGACAGGAUAUAUUUUUAUGGAGAGCAAAAUCUUUUGGGAUAUUUAAAAUUUAAGUUUAUUUUUUAUAUAAAAUGACAUAAGAGUAAAGAAAUUUGAAUGUU
This is a long non-coding RNA of Erpetoichthys calabaricus (reedfish), 1302 nucleotides long. RefSeq lists it as uncharacterized. The transcript is spliced from 2 exons. NCBI's taxonomy places the organism in Eukaryota, Metazoa, Chordata, Cladistia, Polypteriformes, Polypteridae. The record is from RefSeq and is a predicted model, not a curated record.